Molecule: long non-coding RNA, 814 nt
Organism: Bos indicus x Bos taurus (hybrid cattle)
Lineage: Eukaryota; Metazoa; Chordata; Mammalia; Artiodactyla; Bovidae
Source: Ensembl
CGACUCUUUGCAAAGGUAUAUCCUCAGCUAAUUGAAGUAGAAGAAUUAUGAAAAUAUGUUUCCUAGGUUGUGGGAUUUCCAAGAGGUCCAGAGAGUCAGGACUGGGAGCCAUGCAGCCAGGAACCAUGCUCGUACCACACCGUGGGGUUGCUACAGUGAAGAGUCCACUAUGUGUCACACCACAGAUGACCACUGAUGCUGGGCAUGGGAUUCCAGAACCUCCACCACUGCCUGCUCCAAACUGCAUACGUCUACCUUCAACCUCAUGAAAAGUAUGAAGGCCUCUGGUUCUAUUCAGCUGCCUCCUCUUUCGGCUACGCUGCCUCUCCAGGCGGGAGGACUUGGGGAUCUGCAGAGAAGGGAGCCUUUGCAGGUGUAGUGCUGAAGACCCGUUUACCAGGUUUUUUAAUCUGUGGGCCUCCACUCAGUCAUCGAUGGGAGAAGAUUUCGGUUGGAGCUGCUUUGGCUUACAAAGGUAAUUGUAGCUGUUUGUGGAGAAAGGCUGACCUUAUAACCCCUCACCAAUUUAUCCAGAGACUAAGUACCGUCCUUUGUCGUAUAGCUGCCAUAUACCUUUUUAAUGUGCAUUAUUUCAUAUUUGUUUUUUACCAGGUGAUAUUUAGAGACAAGGAUAAAGUGACAUUGAAUGUAAAAGAAGAAAGUAUUGGUAAAGAAAUAUUCAAGGAGGUGUGUUCAAGUGGAAGGGGACGAGGAUAAACCUGUGGCUGAUUCAUGCCGAUGUUUGGUAGAAAGUAACACAGUAGUGUAAAGCAAUUACCCUUCAAUUAAAAAUAAAUAAAUUUACCAAGAGACA